AUGGCAACACUUCAAGGCAGCCAGCUUAUAUAUGAAGAGCCCUGUCAAUUUUCCCACCGCUGUGCAUCAUGGAUACCAAACAGCCACACACAGAAAAGAGCUGAGCACACUGCCCUGUGCUGCGUGGCCUUACCCACACAGACAGACCAAGACCAGACGGAUGGAGAACUGAGGCAGGUCCUAAAAGAAGUGGUAGAUCGGCUGUCCCAGAAGGCAGCUGGGUAGUAAGAGCAACAGCUGAGGAUUUCCUCAGUGAAGAGACCUGGCAUUGGUCCCUGGACCCAGUGUGCCCCGAGAACUCGUCAUUGGCCCAGCAUCCCCCUCACCUCCUAGGAUCAGUAACCUGAAUUUCCUCCAAAAAACUACCCUUUCCCCAUUCUCAGCCAUCCGGUUUAGCUGAUGAGCCCCCUCCUAGUCCUAGGGAUGGAUCCUAAUUUGUUUAUACACAAUGACCCCUAGCCAUGUUCACAAGCUAUCUUUAAGAACAACAACAAAUCUCCAUGGCUUUAAUAUAACAGGGGUUUAUUUCUUGCUCAAGGGCCCUAAUGGAUGGGUGACCUUUCUCCAUGCAGUGAUUCAGGGACCCAGGCUCCGUCUCCCUGGGUGACCUGCCCGCCUUAAACACAUGGCCUCAAAGUCGACCUGAGGGUCAUUCCACUCAGCCAGAAAGCAAGGAAGGCACUGGCAUUACUUCACUUCUAC
Molecule: long non-coding RNA, 702 nt
Filed under: Sus scrofa (pig)
Lineage: Eukaryota; Metazoa; Chordata; Mammalia; Artiodactyla; Suidae
Description: lncRNA (ENSSSCG00030030407.1)
Source: RNAcentral